RNAcentral lists this ribosomal RNA (1512 nucleotides) under uncultured prokaryote. RNAcentral describes it as "partial 16S ribosomal RNA". It matches the Rfam family "Bacterial small subunit ribosomal RNA". The record is from RNAcentral.
AUUGAACGCUGGCGGCAGGCCUAACACAUGCAAGUCGAGCGGAAACGAUGGGAGCUUGCUCCCAGGCGUCGAGCGGCGGACGGGUGAGUAACGCGUGGGAAUCUACCCAGUAGCGGGGGAUAGCCCGGAGAAAUCCGGAUUAAUACCGCAUACGCCCUACGGGGGAAAGCAGGGGAUCUUCGGACCUUGCGCUAUUGGAUGAGUCUGCGGACCAUUAGUUUGUUGGUGGGGUAAAGGCCUACCAAGACUACGAUGGUUAGCUGGUCUGAGAGGAUGAUCAGCCACACUGGAACUGGAACACGGUCCAGACUCCUACGGGAGGCAGCAGUGAGGAAUAUUGCGCAAUGGGGGCAACCCUGAUCCAGCCAUGCCGCGUGUGUGAAGAAGGCCUUAGGGUUGUAAAGCACUUUCAGUAGGGAGGAAAAGUUAGUCGUUAAUAACGGCUAACCCUGACGUUACCUACAGAAGAAGCACCGGCAAACUCCGUGCCAGCAGCCGCGGUAAUACGGAGGGUGCGAGCGUUAAUCGGAAUUACUGGGCGUAAAGCGCGCGUAGGUGGUUAGGUAAGUUGGAUGUGAAAGCCCCGGGCUUAACCUGGGAACUGCAUUCAAAACUGCCUAGCUAGAGUACGAUAGAGGGGGGUAGAAUUUCAGGUGUAGCGGUGAAAUGCGUAGAGAUCUGAAGGAAUACCAGUGGCGAAGGCGGCCCCCUGGAUUGAUACUGACACUGAGGUGCGAAAGCGUGGGUAGCAAACAGGAUUAGAUACCCUGGUAGUCCAUGCCGUAAACGAUGUCAACUAGCCGUUGGAAGACUUGAUCUUUUAGUGGCGCAGCUAACGCAAUAAGUUGACCGCCUGGGGAGUACGGCCGCAAGGUUAAAACUCAAAUGAAUUGACGGGGGCCCGCACAAGCGGUGGAGCAUGUGGUUUAAUUCGAUGCAACGCGAAGAACCUUACCUGGUCUUGACAUCCUACGAACUUACUAGAGAUAGUUUGGUGCCUUCGGGAACGUAGUGACAGGUGCUGCAUGGCUGUCGUCAGCUCGUGUCGUGAGAUGUUGGGUUAAGUCCCGUAACGAGCGCAACCCUUGCCCUUAGUUGCCAGCAUUUAGUUGGGCACUUUAGGGGGACUGCCGGUGACAAACCGGAGGAAGGUGGGGACGACGUCAAGUCAUCAUGGCCCUUACGACCAGGGCUACACACGUGCUACAAUGGAGCGUACAAAGGGUCGCGAUCUCGCGAGAGUCAGCUAAUCCCAUAAAACGUUUCGUAGUCCGGAUCGCAGUCUGCAACUCGACUGCGUGAAGUCGGAAUCGCUAGUAAUCGUGAAUCAGAAUGUCACGGUGAAUACGUUCCCGGGCCUUGUACACACCGCCCGUCAGACCAUGGGAGUGGGUUGCAAAUGAAGUGGGUAGCAUAACCUUCGGGAGUGCGCUCACCACUUUGUGAUUCAUGACUGGGGUGAAGUCGGAACAAGGUAGCCGUAGGGAAACCUGCGGCUGGAUCACCUCCUUA